UCUCCGCUGGUGAACCAGCGGAGGGAUCAUUACAGGACUCGCAAGACUCCUUCACCCCGUGAACCUCACUACAAGCACGUUGCUUCGGCGGGUGUCCCGGCGGGGGUUUUCCCUCGCCGGGGCGCACAGCCCGCCGGCAGCCUACUAUACUCUGUCUCUUUGCGUUGGCAUCUCGAGAAAAAACAAACAAGUUUAAACUUUCAACAACGGAUCUCUUGGUUCUG
RNAcentral lists this unclassified non-coding RNA (224 nucleotides) under plant metagenome. RNAcentral describes it as "partial contains small subunit ribosomal RNA, internal transcribed spacer 1, and 5.8S ribosomal RNA". The record is from RNAcentral.